Molecule: RNA transcript, 3951 nt
Organism: Alligator sinensis (Chinese alligator)
Lineage: Eukaryota; Metazoa; Chordata; Crocodylia; Alligatoridae
Gene: CBX3
Gene name: chromobox 3
Exons: 6
Source: RefSeq, a predicted model, not a curated record
GUUGCGCCGCGCGGGGCCAGGGCCCGGGAUCCUGGGGCUGCCUGGGCUCCCGGGGCGGCGGGGCUGAGUCGAAGGGGAUUUUCUGGCCUUCUCGGGAGCUUUAUCCAUCGCCUUUUUCAGUGAAAUCGGGGCCGUUUUGGGGCGGGGGGGUCCCUGAAGAAGUGGCCAGGCUGAGGCCCAACAUGGAGGACGAGGGGGGAAGGAAGGUGGGAGAUGGCCUGGGUGCAGUCAAACAAUACAUUUAUCUUUGGGCUUAAAUAUUUCACUCCUCCAUAGGCCCUGUCAGCAUCCCAGUCCUAAUGCUUGCAAACUUCAAGAUCAGGUGGCAGCCUUGGGGUUGGAUGUAUCUUGACUGUUAUAUAGAAGGAUCCCGAGGGACUCUGGCUACUUGUUUCACUAUUGCAGAACUGCUGCCAGCAAAAAAUCUCUCUUUUGCAACUUGCAAAUGCUUGCAGUUACGUCUUCUGGUUAACUGCUCCAAUCUGAGUUCUUAUGAUGCUGGGUUCAAGCAUAUUAGGCAUCCUGGUGGUCCUCAGCUUCCUCUGAAACAUCCCUGUGCCUCAGAACGCCCUGUAAAAAGGACAUUUUUUAACCACGGGUGCAAGUGCAGGUUUUAUGUCAUUAGUUUCACCAUGUGGUCUUGGGUUACACCAGACAAAGUAACAACCUAGUUUUGUUCUGGAUGAAUCCACACUUGAAUGUCAUAUACAGUGAACACAUGGGGGUUGGAAAAAGGACCAUGCUUGUAUUGAGAUGCCUUUCUCUGAGUAAUGUAAACUUCCUUUUAAUUGUCAUGCAUUUUUCUAGUAAAAGCUCUGCAAGUCUGCAAUAAAAAUGGCCUCCAAUAAAACUACAUUGCACAAGAUGGGAAAGAAACAGAAUGGCAAAGGUAAAAAAGUUGAAGAGGCAGAGCCUGAAGAAUUUGUUGUGGAAAAAGUCUUGGACAGACGUGUCGUAAAUGGGAAGGUUGAAUACUACUUGAAAUGGAAAGGAUUUACAGAUGCUGACAACACAUGGGAACCUGAAGAAAACUUAGAUUGUCCAGAGUUAAUUGAAGCUUUUCUAAACUCUCAGAAAGCUGGUAAAGAAAAAACCGAUGGUGCCAAAAGAAAAUCUUUAUCAGAUAGUGAGUCUGAUGACAGUAAAUCAAAGAAAAAAAGGGAUUCCGUUGAUAAACCAAGAGGGUUUGCAAGGGGUCUUGAUCCUGAGCGAAUAAUUGGAGCAACAGAUAGCAGUGGGGAACUUAUGUUUCUUAUGAAGUGGAAAGACUCGGAUGAGGCAGAUUUGGUACUGGCCAAAGAAGCCAAUGUGAAGUGUCCUCAGAUUGUAAUCGCUUUUUAUGAAGAACGACUAACUUGGCAUUCAUGUCCGGAAGAUGAAGCACAAUAAUUGUUUGCGUUGCUUUUUUAUAUAUAUGAAUAUUGAAACCUGAUUUUGAUUUUAUUUGAUUUAUUAGCAAUGUGAGAAGCGUACAUUCUAAUGAAAAUCAAGUUUGAUAUUUUUUUGGAGUAGUGUGUUUUGCAUCAACAGCAAGUAAAUAAAGGCUUUCUGCAACUUCAUUUAUCACAGGAGAGCAUUUGAUACUACUACUUCCUCCACAUUAGAUGGUUGAGAUCCUGCUGGUGGAGACUUGCCUGACUGCUCUGAGGGGAUCCAUUCACUGAAUCCCAUGUGAUCAUACAAUGCUGUGUCUGGGGAAAGUUUAGGUUCUUUCCUGGCUCUGGGCAGUAGGGGGCCCCUUGCUCUUAUUUGUACUAGUUUCAGAAUAUAGCCAUCUGCCCUAGCCCUGAUUGGGCCUCUUGCCCAUUUUCAAGAUUCCUGCCAGGAUGCAAGUGUUUUGCUUCACUGUUUUGGUCCUUACUUGAUUGCUUUAAUGUAGGGAUGUCAAACUAACCUCAGUCCUCCAGGCUGCUCCCACUGUGGUUAUGUCCAGAUGUAGCCCAUGAAGAACCUUGUGGAUUAGAUUUGGACCACAGACCAGAUGCAGACAUGGCAGCAGUGCUGUGUCCAGAUAUUAACACAGCUGUCAGUGACCCCUUGCUGCUGACAUACAUCCCCAGUGGGGCUCCAUAGCCCAGGCUUCAGUGGCAGGCCCUGCCCCUGAAUUUCCUGCUCCUCUGGGGCCAGGUAAAUUCCCACACCUCAGAUGACGUAGCUCUGCAAGCCAAAUCUGGCUUUCAGGUCAUACGUUUGACAUGUCUUCUUGUUUAACACACACAGAAUAUAUAGGUUUCUGAAAUACCAAAUAUAAGAAGUAAAGAUCUGAGCAGAAAUAGUAAACUUACAUGCAUUUCCCUGCCUCAGUUUCAUCACUGUUUUGGAAUGUUCCCUAGGCUGGGUUCAGGCUUCUUUCAUGUUUGGGAUCCUUCUAUAGGUCAUGGUUUGUCUUUGGACCAGGGAGAAUAUCCAUCAUAGCUCACCACCUCUGACCUUGAUACUGUCAGACUGGUAUUAAAAUCUAGUCAAAUAUUUAAUUAUCAAGCAAGCUGCCUUGCCUUAAAAUAAUUUUGUUAUUUUUUUUUGUUUUACAAUCCUUCCUAGCAAGAUGUUGAUCCUUGCUGGUCAGUAGCCAUUACAAUAGGUGGAUUUGAUUCUAUGCUGAGCUUUCCUAUUAAAUUACAUAUUAUUCUUUCUACCCAGGAAGACAUGCUUGCCCAUAUUUUAAGCAGAUACACAAUUCAACAAACAUGUUUAUUCACAUUCUUAAUUCUAUUUUUAGAUUUUAUGAUUGGUCAGUAGAACAUGAUAACUAACAUAGGAUCAUAGGGAACAUAGAACUGGAAGAGAUUUCAUGAGGUCAUUAGUCCAGUUCCCUGCUUAGAGCAGGAUGACUGUAAAUUAAACCAUCCUGUUCAAGUAUCUGUCUUGCCUCCUUGGAAAUUUCGCAGCUUCCCAAGGUAGCCUUUUCAAGUGAUUGGGAUAAAACUCCUCAGAUCCCAUUGUAUGUCUGCUGGCACUUGAAUAAUCCAACAAUGGGGAGAAGCUCCCUCAUGCUGGAUUGUCCACACGCCCUUUAAACUUGCUGGCAUAUGGGGACUUAGGAUCAGGAAGAGAUUUCCUGAUCCUAGGUUCCCCAUACACCCAGACUUCUAAAAGGCACACAUGCAGCCCAGUUGCACACAUCCCCUCUAAACUGCAGCACAUGGGAAUCUCCAUAUCCGGGAAGCAGCUCCUCCUGUGCCCUGUACACCAGGAACUUUAAGAGGGUGUAUGGGGGAGCAGCUCCUUGCAUGCCCUUUAAAUGAAGUGAUGUGCCACACAUUAAAAUUGUUGUGAGGUGCUUCCACAUCAGAAAGUAGUUGCUGAUUUUAAUAGGGAACUUCUCUGAAGCAGAUCUACCUAACUCCUCAUCAAAAGUAAACUUCUUGUUUGAUCAGCAAGCACUUAAUCUGACCCAGCCCUUCCUUAAUAAUAAAUGCAAACCCUCUCAACAGAUCUUUACUGCCACAACAAUCAACAUUCCCCACAGCAAAACCAUGGAUCAUGCAUGUGUCUGGCCCAGAAUGUGGUAUACCUCAUUCAGUGCACUAAAUGAUCACGUGGUGACUUAUGUGGGCAAAGCCAGACAAAAACUAUGCACUAGACUCAUCAAAAAAAGAUAAGACAGAGACACUAGAACACAGGUAGGAGAACAUUUUUCAUAGAGGAUUUACUCCCUGUUUGACUUCACAGAUCUUGUGUUCAAUCCAACAUAGGAAUAGAAAUGCAUCAGCCUAUUAGAUAUAGGUAUCAGAGACUUAACGUAGACAAUGACUUCUUGGUUCAUUAUAGUCAACCUCUGCACUUCUGAAUGACCCUCCUGGGCAAUCUUUUACACAGUUUUUUUGUUCUAUUUGCUACUUAGCUCGGCUUCCCUUGCAGAGGCCUGAUGAAAGGUAAUGUGAUAUCUGAAAACUUCCCUGUCUAUCCCAGCCAUGCAGUUGGGCCAAUUAAAGAUAUCACUCAAAAGAA